GAUGUUGAUGCAUAUCAUGUAUUUGCACCAUCACCGCAGGGAGGAAAUAACACUCAGGGAUUGCAACUACGCGUUGAUGUGGCCUCUCCCGAGAAUGAGAUUGAUGAAUGAUGUGUAACUAUACUUUUUGAACGAGACAUUAAGUGGCUGUUCCAACUUGAAAAUUCUGCAUAUGUAUGUUACAAGCAAUUAAUAAUCUGUUACAACUUAUUGACGAGGUUGUACAGGCACCAUUGAUGUACGAGGAUCUUUGUAUUACGAGGAUGAGUAUUACGGAUA
Coffea arabica (coffee) is the source of this 279-nucleotide non-coding RNA. NCBI's taxonomy places the organism in Eukaryota, Viridiplantae, Streptophyta, Magnoliopsida, Gentianales, Rubiaceae. The record is from RefSeq and is a predicted model, not a curated record.